AGUGAACGCUGGCGGUAGGCCUAACACAUGCAAGUCGAACGGCAGCACAGGAGAGCUUGCUCUCUGGGUGGCGAGUGGCGGACGGGUGAGGAAUACAUCGGAAUCUACUUUUUCGUGGGGGAUAACGUAGGGAAACUUACGCUAAUACCGCAUACGACCUACGGGUGAAAGCAGGGGACCUUCGGGCCUUGCGCGAUUGAAUGAGCCGAUGUCGGAUUAGCUAGUUGGCGGGGUAAAGGCCCACCAAGGCGACGAUCCGUAGCUGGUCUGAGAGGAUGAUCAGCCACAAGGGAACUGAGACACGGUCCAGACUCCUACGGGAGGCGGCAGUGGGGAAUAUUGGACAAUGGGCGCAAGCCUGAUCCAGCCAUACCGCGUGGGUGAAGAAGGCCUUCGGGUUGUAAAGCCCUUUUGUUGGGAAAGAAAUCCAGCUGGCUAAUACCCGGUUGGGAUGACGGUACCCAAAGAAUAAGCACCGGCUAACUUCGUGCCAGCAGCCGCGGUAA
This 506-nucleotide ribosomal RNA is filed under the name uncultured bacterium. RNAcentral's name for it is "partial 16S ribosomal RNA". It matches the Rfam family "Bacterial small subunit ribosomal RNA", at positions 29 to 523 of the family's 1533-position model. The record is from RNAcentral.